GACGAACGCUGGCGGCGUGCUUAACACAUGCGAGUCGAACGGAAAGGCCCUGCUUUUGUGGGGUGCUCGUGUGGCGAACGGGUGAGUAACACGUGAGUAACCUGCCCUUGACUUUGGGAUAACUUCAGGAAACUGGGGCUAAUACCGGAUAGGAGCUCCUGCUGCAUGGUGGGGGUUGGAAAGUUUCGGCGGUUGGGGAUGGACUCGCGGCUUAUCAGCUUGUUGGUGGGGUAGUGGCUUACCAAGGCUUUGACGGGUAGCCGGCCUGAGAGGGUGACCGGCCACAUUGGGACUGAGAUACGGCCCAGACUCCUACGGGAGGCAGCAGUGGGGAAUAUUGCACAAUGGGCGGAAGCCUGAUGCAGCAACGCCGCGUGCGGGAUGACGGCCUUCGGGUUGUAAACCGCUUUCGCCUGUGACGAAGCGUGAGUGGCGGUAAUGGGUAAAGAAGCACCGGCUAACUACGUG
RNAcentral lists this ribosomal RNA (468 nucleotides) under uncultured bacterium. Its description in RNAcentral is "partial 16S ribosomal RNA". It matches the Rfam family "Bacterial small subunit ribosomal RNA", at positions 28 to 507 of the family's 1533-position model. The record is from RNAcentral.